UAGAGGUCGCCGGUUCGAGU
Molecule: non-coding RNA, 20 nt
Filed under: Arabidopsis thaliana (thale cress)
Lineage: Eukaryota; Viridiplantae; Streptophyta; Magnoliopsida; Brassicales; Brassicaceae
Source: RNAcentral